This 1369-nucleotide ribosomal RNA is filed under the name uncultured bacterium. RNAcentral describes it as "16S ribosomal RNA". It matches the Rfam family "Bacterial small subunit ribosomal RNA", at positions 31 to 1381 of the family's 1533-position model. The record is from RNAcentral.
GAACGCUGGCGGCGUGCCUAAUACAUGCAAGUCGAGCGAACGGACGAGAAGCUUGCUUCUCUGAUGUUAGCGGCGGACGGGUGAGUAACACGUGGAUAACCUACCUAUAAGACUGGGAUAACUUCGGGAAACCGGAGCUAAUACCGGAUAAUAUUUUGAACCGCAUGGUUCAAAAGUGAAAGACGGUCUUGCUGUCACUUAUAGAUGGAUCCGCGCUGCAUUAGCUAGUUGGUAAGGUAACGGCUUACCAAGGCAACGAUGCACAGCCGACCUGAGAGGGUGAUCGGCCACACUGGAACUGAGACACGGUCCAGACUCCUACGGGAGGCAGCAGUAGGGAAUCUUCCGCAAUGGGCGAAAGCCUGACGGAGCAACGCCGCGUGAGUGAUGAGGGUCUUCGGAUCGUAAAACUCUGUUAUUAGGGAAGAACAUAUGUGUAAGUAACUGUGCACAUCUUGACGGUACCUAAUCAGAAAGCCACGGCUAACUACGUGCCAGCAGCCGCGGUAAUACGUAGGUGGCAAGCGUUAUCCGGAAUUAUUGGGCGUAAAGCGCGCGUAGGCGGUUUUUUAAGUCUGAUGUGAAAGCCCACGGCUCAACCGUGGAGGGUCAUUGGAAACUGGAAAACUUGAGUGCAGAAGAGGAAAGUGGAAUUCCAUGUGUAGCGGUGAAAUGCGCAGAGAUAUGGAGGAACACCAGUGGCGAAGGCGACUUUCUGGUCUGUAACUGACGCUGAUGUGCGAAAGCGUGGGGAUCAAACAGGAUUAGAUACCCUGGUAGUCCACGCCGUAAACGAUGAGUGCUAAGUGUUAGGGGGUUUCCGCCCCUUAGUGCUGCAGCUAACGCAUUAAGCACUCCGCCUGGGGAGUACGACCGCAAGGUUGAAACUCAAAGGAAUUGACGGGGACCCGCACAAGCGGUGGAGCAUGUGGUUUAAUUCGAAGCAACGCGAAGAACCUUACCAAAUCUUGACAUCCUUUGACAACUCUAGAGAUAGAGCCUUCCCCUUCGGGGGACAAAGUGACAGGUGGUGCAUGGUUGUCGUCAGCUCGUGUCGUGAGAUGUUGGGUUAAGUCCCGCAACGAGCGCAACCCUUAAGCUUAGUUGCCAUCAUUAAGUUGGGCACUCUAAGUUGACUGCCGGUGACAAACCGGAGGAAGGUGGGGAUGACGUCAAAUCAUCAUGCCCCUUAUGAUUUGGGCUACACACGUGCUACAAUGGACAAUACAAAGGGCAGCGAAACCGCGAGGUCAAGCAAAUCCCAUAAAGUUGUUCUCAGUUCGGAUUGUAGUCUGCAACUCGACUACAUGAAGCUGGAAUCGCUAGUAAUCGUAGAUCAGCAUGCUACGGUGAAUACGUUCCCGGGUCU